UACGUAGGUGGCGAGCGUUGUCCGGAUUUACUGGGCGUAAAGGGCGUGCAGGCGGUUUGUUAAGUGCAGGGUGAAAGCUCCCGGCUCAACUGGGAGAGGUCCUUGCAUACUGGCGAACUCGAGGGAGGCAGAGGAAAGUGGAAUUCCCGGUGUAGUGGUGAUAUGCGUAGAUAUCGGGAGGAACACCUGUGGCGAAGGCGGCUACCUGGAGCUUUGCUGACGCUGAUGCGCGAAAGCGUGGGGAGCGAUCCGG
Molecule: ribosomal RNA, 253 nt
Filed under: uncultured bacterium
Lineage: Bacteria
Description: partial 16S ribosomal RNA
Rfam family: Bacterial small subunit ribosomal RNA
Source: RNAcentral